RNAcentral lists this transfer RNA (85 nucleotides) under Halobacteriales archaeon QS_4_70_19. Its description in RNAcentral is "tRNA-Leu". It matches the Rfam family "tRNA". Rfam says of the family: Transfer RNA (tRNA) molecules are approximately 80 nucleotides in length. Their secondary structure includes four short double-helical elements and three loops (D, anti-codon, and T loops). Further hydrogen bonds mediate the characteristic L-shaped molecular structure. tRNAs have two regions of fundamental functional importance: the anti-codon, which is responsible for specific mRNA codon recognition, and the 3' end, to which the tRNAs corresponding amino acid is attached (by aminoacyl-tRNA synthetases). tRNAs cope with the degeneracy of the genetic code in two manners: having more than one tRNA (with a specific anti-codon) for a particular amino acid; and 'wobble' base-pairing, i.e. permitting non-standard base-pairing at the 3rd anti-codon position. RNAcentral also lists the same sequence under 1 other name. Lineage: Archaea; Methanobacteriati; Methanobacteriota; Halobacteria; Halobacteriales. The record is from RNAcentral.
GCGGGGGUGGCCGAGUCCGGACAAAGGCGGCGGACUUAAGAUCCGCUCCAGUAGUGGUUCGAGGGUUCGAAUCCCUUCCCCCGCA